Catenaria anguillulae PL171 is the source of this 72-nucleotide transfer RNA. It matches the Rfam family "tRNA". Rfam says of the family: Transfer RNA (tRNA) molecules are approximately 80 nucleotides in length. Their secondary structure includes four short double-helical elements and three loops (D, anti-codon, and T loops). NCBI's taxonomy places the organism in Eukaryota, Fungi, Blastocladiomycota, Blastocladiomycetes, Blastocladiales, Catenariaceae. The record is from Rfam.
GGCUGAUUGGUCUAGUGGUAUGAUUCGCGCUUCGGGUGUGCGAGGUCCCGGGUUCAAUCCCCGGAUCAGCCC